GACGGGUGAGUAACGCGUGAGAAUCUGGCUCUAGGUUCGGGACAACCACUGGAAACGGUGGCUAAUACCGGAUGUGCCGAGAGGUGAAAGGCUAGCUGCCUAGAGAAGAGCUCGCGUCUGAUUAGCUAGAUGGUGGGGUAAGAGCCUACCAUGGCGACGAUCGGUAGCUGGUCUGAGAGGACGAUCAGCCACACUGGGACUGAGACACGGCCCAGACUCCUACGGGAGGCAGCAGUGGGGAAUUUUCCGCAAUGGGCGAAAGCCUGACGGAGCAAUACCGCGUGAGGGAGGAAGGCUCUUGGGUUGUAAACCUUUUUUCAGGGAAGAAAAUUGACGGUACCUGAGGAAUCAGCAUCGGCUAACUCCGUGCCAGCAGCCGCGGUAAUACGGAGGAUGCAAGCGUUAUCCGGAAUGAUUGGGCGUAAAGCGUCCGUAGGUGGUGAUACAAGUCUAUUGUCAAAGCCUCUGGCUCAACCAGAGCAAGGCAGUGGAAACUGUAGAACUAGAGUGCAUUCGGGGCAGGGGGAAUUCCUGGUGUAGCGGUGAAACCCGUAGAGAUCAGGAAGAACACCGGGGCG
This 578-nucleotide ribosomal RNA is filed under the name Nostoc sp. LCRSM-1416. RNAcentral describes it as "bacterial SSU rRNA". It matches the Rfam family "Bacterial small subunit ribosomal RNA", at positions 100 to 717 of the family's 1533-position model. The record is from RNAcentral. Lineage: Bacteria; Bacillati; Cyanobacteriota; Cyanophyceae; Nostocales; Nostocaceae.